CCUACGGGCGGCUGCAGUGGGGAAUAUUGGACAAUGGGGGCAACCCUGAUCCAGCCAUGCCGCGUGUGUGAAGAAGGCCCUCGGGUUGUAAAGCACUUUCAGUGAGGAAGAACGCCUGGUGGUUAAUACCCAUCAGGAAAGACAUCACUCACAGAAGAAGCACCGGCUAACUCCGUGCCAGCAGCCGCGGUAAUACGGAGGGUGCGAGCGUUAAUCGGAAUUACUGGGCGUAAAGCGCGCGUAGGUGGCUCGAUAAGCCGGUUGUGAAAGCCCCGGGCUCAACCUGGGAACGGCAUCCGGAACUGUCAAGCUAGAGUGCAGGAGAGGAAGGUAGAAUUCCCGGUGUAGCGGUGAAAUGCGUAGAGAUCGGGAGGAAUACCAGUGGCGAAGGCGGCCUUCUGGACUGACACUGACACUGAGGUGCGAAAGCGUGGGUAGCAAACAGGAUUAGAUACCCGAGUAGUC
Molecule: ribosomal RNA, 465 nt
Filed under: Vreelandella stevensii
Lineage: Bacteria; Pseudomonadati; Pseudomonadota; Gammaproteobacteria; Oceanospirillales; Halomonadaceae
Description: partial 16S ribosomal RNA
Rfam family: Bacterial small subunit ribosomal RNA
Source: RNAcentral